CCGGUGCGGGUAUUUGAUUCCUGAAACCAGUGCCGCAGAAGCACAGCACAGUGAGCCUGGCCUACCCAUGUUGCGCAAGACUGCUCACUGAGGAUGGCUCCUUCCUUUCACGUGUGAGGUUCUACAUGUCUGCUGAUGAGAUCAAAUGCAAUGGGAAUGGAACAGAAUCUGAAAAAACUUUGCCUAGAUUUAUUUCUAAGCUGUAAAGCAAUUUGAAGUUAGACAGUGGUCUGUUGCAUCUGCUAAGCAAAAUAAACUGGAGCAUAAGCAUGAAAUCCUAGAUAUGCACAAAAUGAUUGCUGCACAAACUCCUACUCUAUGUGUAGAUGGAAGCAGGAGUCUCAAAAGAGGAGCCAGCCCUGAGACUUCAAGAGAAUUGCAGAGAAAAUCUAAGACAAACCACAGCUAAAUCCAGAACAGCAGUAUGAUAAGAAGGAAUUAUGGUAGAAGGCAGAGAAAACUGGGUGAUUUUUUAUGGCUAUAUGAACAUGACACUUUUGGAAUUCUUCAGAAGAGAUGAAAAUAAAAGAUUUUCCUAGAUUGUUAUGUUUCCUAUGUAGAUAUAUAAAAAUAUUUUUCUAGUACUUCUUUCAUGGAUACUCUUAGUAUGAUUCCAAAACGCAUCCAUUCCCCAUACUGUAUCUUCAUGAAUUUAUUAACCUCUUAGAAAAUUAGGGAAAACAAAAAUUUUCUGGCAAGCUGUCAGAGCUCUAGUUGUUAAAAUGUCAACUUAAAACAUUCGUAAGUAGUCAUUUGCCAGCUGUGUAUCUGUGAUUUCACAGUUAUCAGGUCCAAUAAAAGUUUAGACCCUGACAAUUUAAACAUUUAAGAAUUUUUGUUGGCUUGCAGGAACAAGACCAAAUCUGUAUUAUUGUCAUGUAAUUUGAAAGAGAAUUUUUUUUGAAGUUACACUUGCAUUAAAGCAAAAUGUAGUAGUAUUGAGAUUAGGCAGACAACAAAGUAUGUAGAGGAUAUAAAACUAA
Passer domesticus (house sparrow) is the source of this 983-nucleotide long non-coding RNA. RefSeq lists it as uncharacterized. Lineage: Eukaryota; Metazoa; Chordata; Aves; Passeriformes; Passeridae. The transcript is spliced from 3 exons. The record is from RefSeq and is a predicted model, not a curated record.